Molecule: non-coding RNA, 21 nt
Filed under: Arabidopsis thaliana (thale cress)
Lineage: Eukaryota; Viridiplantae; Streptophyta; Magnoliopsida; Brassicales; Brassicaceae
Source: RNAcentral
AUGUUCAAUAGAUUUAGAUGG